GACAGAGGAUGCAAGCGUUAUCCGGAAUGAUUGGGCAUAAAGCGUCUGUAGGUGGCUUUUUAAGUCUGCCGUCAAAUCCCAGGGCUUAACCCUGGACAGGCGGUGGAAACUACCAAGCUGGAGUACGGUAGGGGCAGGGGGAAUUUCCGGUGGAGCGGUGAAAUGCGUAGAGAUCGGAAAGAACACCAACGGCGAAAGCACUCUGCUGGGCCGACACUGACACUGAGAGACGAAAGCUAGGGGAGCGAAUGGG
RNAcentral lists this ribosomal RNA (253 nucleotides) under uncultured bacterium. Its description in RNAcentral is "partial 16S ribosomal RNA". It matches the Rfam family "Bacterial small subunit ribosomal RNA", at positions 524 to 776 of the family's 1533-position model. The record is from RNAcentral.